AGGAUUAACGCUGGCGGCGUGCCUAACACAUGCAAGUCGAACGAGGUAGCAAUACCUAGUGGCAGACGGGUGAGUAACGCGUGGUCAACCUACCGUUGAGUGGGGGAUAACUAGCCGAAAGGUUAGCUAAUACCGCAUACGAGUCUCGGGGGCAUCCCUGGGCCUUAAAAGGAGCAAUCCGCUCGAUGACGGGACCGCGUCCCAUUAGCUAGAUGGUGGGGUAAUGGCCUACCAUGGCUCCGAUGGGUAGCUGGUUUGAGAGAGCGACCAGCCACACUGGGACUGAGAAACGGCCCAGACUCCUACGGGAGGCAGCAGUGAGGAAUUUUCCGCAAUGGGCGAAAGCCUGACGGAGCGACGCCGCGUGUGGGAAGAAGGCCUUCGGGUCGUAAACCACUGUCGAAGGGGACGAUAAUGACGGUACCUUGGAGGAAGCCCCGGCUAACUACGUGCCAGCAGCCGC
Molecule: ribosomal RNA, 463 nt
Filed under: uncultured bacterium
Lineage: Bacteria
Description: SSU rRNA
Rfam family: Bacterial small subunit ribosomal RNA
Source: RNAcentral